ACAUAAGAUUUUGUGGUAUCCACUUGUGUAAAUAUUUUAAAUUGACGAUCAAAUUCAUUCAUUAUAGUGGUAUAGGAUGAAGGAGUGUAGUUGUAAAAAAUCAUCAAAAUCGAAGUUAAAAGAACCGUUAAAUCGUGAUUUUUUUUUUUAUAACCGUCGAAACGUUUUGUCUCAUUUCUUGAUCUAUAAAUGUUUUUUUUUGUGAUUUUUGUUGUAUGCGAUCUCGAAGCAUAUACAAACAAGUUUGACGGUUUGAUCGUUAAAAUUAGUUUCAUAGAAUUCGUAUCCCAUCAAAACGAUAGAUUCACUAACACUUAGAGUUUAUUUAUACUUUCAUUAAGUAUAACAUAAGAUUUUGUGAUAUCCACUUGUGUAAAUAUUUUAAAUUGACGAUCAAAUUCAUUCAUUGUAUUCGUAUAGGGUCAAGGAGUGUAGCUGUUAAAAAUCAUCAACAUCGGAGUUAAAACAACCGUUAAAUCGUGAUUUUUUGUUUUAUAACCGUCGAAAAGAUUGGUCUCAUUACUUCCUCUUUGAAUGUUUGUAUUUUGUGAUUUUUGGCGUAUGCGAUCUCGAAGCAUAUACAAACAAGUUUAACGGUUGGAUCGUUACAAUUAGUUUCAUAGAAUUCGUAUCCCAUCAAAACGAUAGAUUCAUUAACACUUAGAGUUUAUUUAUACUUUCAUUAAGUAUAACAUAAGAUUUUGUGGUAUCCA
RNAcentral lists this long non-coding RNA (713 nucleotides) under Malus domestica (apple). Its description in RNAcentral is "long non-coding RNA (MDOM_LNC000340)". Lineage: Eukaryota; Viridiplantae; Streptophyta; Magnoliopsida; Rosales; Rosaceae. The record is from RNAcentral.